GUCACAGAAAGAAACGAAGGGAAGCGGAGAGAGAGAGAAACAGAGAGAGCAGAAGAGAAGGAAUCGUCGAAAUAGUGGAGUUUGAAUUGUGGCAAUAACACGUGAAAAAAGAGGGUAUAUAUGGCAAAUGUCUAAUCUGCGGUAAUUUGCCUACCACUAAGGAGAUGAUGACACGUGGUGGUUCCAUCCCCGCACGAUUAUAAUCUAGGCAACCUUUCUUUUUUCACAAUAGUUUGGCAGAGAAUAUGCGAUUUCCAGAGAAAAACUAAGGAAAAAAAGAAAGGGAAUAAUAGUCAACGUAUUCCUUUUAGAU
Molecule: unclassified non-coding RNA, 313 nt
Filed under: Hevea brasiliensis (rubber tree)
Lineage: Eukaryota; Viridiplantae; Streptophyta; Magnoliopsida; Malpighiales; Euphorbiaceae
Source: RNAcentral